RNAcentral lists this ribosomal RNA (253 nucleotides) under uncultured bacterium. Its description in RNAcentral is "partial 16S ribosomal RNA". It matches the Rfam family "Bacterial small subunit ribosomal RNA", at positions 524 to 776 of the family's 1533-position model. The record is from RNAcentral.
UACGUAGGGUGCGAGCGUUAAUCGGAAUUACUGGGCGUAAAGCGUGCGCAGGCGGUUCGUUAUGUCCGUUGUGAAAGCCCCGGGCUCAACCUGGGAAUGGCAAUGGAAACUGGCGGGCUAGAGUGUGGCAGAGGGGGGUGGAAUUCCGCGUGUAGCAGUGAAAUGCGUAGAGAUGCGGAGGAACACCGAUGGCGAAGGCAGCCCCCUGGGCUAGCACUGACGCUCAGGCACGAAAGCGUGGGGAGCAAACGGG